AAUCAAUCAACUGUUUUAAUUACAACUAUAAGACCAUUAUCUUGCACUCCAUGAAUUUUUAUGAAGGAAAUAAACACAACCCACAUCUGUGAUAAAAAUCGUGCAUGUAAGUAGCAAAAAUGCUGAAUAUUUUUAACGGAUGCGUUCUCACGAGGGUCAUCGACUGAAAAAUCUACCUGGUUUCGGCACAAUGCGCGUAAAUAACUCUCCCACGGCAACGUCCGCGGUAGCUUUACGACCGACCCACGUGCAACAGGUGAAAAAACGCACAAUUUUCGUCAAAGAAUCCCAGUUAUUAUACCUUAUAUGGGCCUUCUGCACUUCAUGUCCAACUAACGGUCGAGAACCGCACCAACACACACCCGAGUCACUCCACGCAUAACCGUUUUCGAACCCUGCACCAGGUGGUGGUUUCGAGAGAAAACCGUUUGAAACCGUUGAAAGUAUGCGAGAAUGUCAAUCGAACUGGACCACUAUGUGGAUGCUGUCUUUCUCGCUCGUGGCACUUGGUUUGCUGGCUUUGAGCACGGGAAAGAAGAAGUGAGAGACCUUGACGCUGCUGCGUUGGAAUGCCACCCCUCCACUUGUGCUGCCUCUGAACCCGAUCCGGUUAAAGACGUGCACAAAGCUGGAGAUGGAGACCCGGAGGAAGAGCUGUUGACCAGAGGCUUCCGGUCGGCGAGGUCGCCUUCUGGCCCCAGUCUUUAUUUUUCCAAAUUGUUCAACGUUUCAAUUAAAGUUUGAAUAAAUAGUGCACGCGCUAUAAAUAAUACUUGAGUUCUUCCACCCUCUUUUUUAUUUUUCAAGUUUCAAUAUUUGCGAAAUGGUUUGAAGUAACACUUUCUUCGUCCAAUUUCUUGGUUUUUUUGGCAUACUUUUGACGAAAUCUCGAGUAAAACAAACAAAAUAUCAAUUAUUGUUUAUUUUUGUCCCCCUUGAAUUCUUCACAUUAGUUCGUCUAUAUUUGCACACCUUGCCUUGUCACUUAUCUUAUCUCAUCAGUCGUUCGUGUUGUUGUAAAAUGUUUUUAUCUUGAGGUCAAAUAAAACUACCAUUUUGUGGAAUCAUUUUAUUAUUUUUUUCCAACAAACUUAAUUAAUCACAACAUCAGAGUUUUCCGCAAUCCAGUCCAAAUAUUUGGUGACUCUAGUGUACACAGAGGGCCAUCCAAUUUCGCAGCCGAAGGAAAUGCCAAAGGAGGUGACACCAAUC
Molecule: long non-coding RNA, 1212 nt
Organism: Tribolium castaneum (red flour beetle)
Lineage: Eukaryota; Metazoa; Arthropoda; Insecta; Coleoptera; Tenebrionidae
Exons: 2
Source: RefSeq, a predicted model, not a curated record